This 84-nucleotide transfer RNA is filed under the name Rhizobiaceae bacterium. RNAcentral describes it as "tRNA-Leu". It matches the Rfam family "tRNA". Rfam says of the family: Transfer RNA (tRNA) molecules are approximately 80 nucleotides in length. Their secondary structure includes four short double-helical elements and three loops (D, anti-codon, and T loops). The record is from RNAcentral. Lineage: Bacteria; Pseudomonadati; Pseudomonadota; Alphaproteobacteria; Hyphomicrobiales; Rhizobiaceae.
GCCCCUCUGGCGGAAUUGGUAGACGCGCGGGAUUCAAAAUCCCGUUCCUAUGGAGUGCCGGUUCGAUUCCGGCGGGGGGCACCA